Long non-coding RNA from Centruroides sculpturatus (bark scorpion), 1165 nucleotides. RefSeq lists it as uncharacterized. Lineage: Eukaryota; Metazoa; Arthropoda; Arachnida; Scorpiones; Buthidae. The transcript is spliced from 4 exons. The record is from RefSeq and is a predicted model, not a curated record.
UCAACAAUGCACUUGCUGGAUUUCGGUUAGAGAAAUGGCAAAGUUUGUUCUUAUUAUAAGUACUGAAUAGAUUCAAAAAUUGUUUUCCGACGAGCUAAAUCUUUUACGGACAAAUCGAAGAAGACGUCUCAUUUGAGUGUUUAAUUGGUGUUCGUAUUUAAGCCAUCGUCUUGGGAUUGGUUCUUACCACGUCACUACCAAAAACAAGAGGAAAUAAAUAGGUUUAAUGCACGAAUCUUCGCUCGUUACUAGUGACGUAUUUCUGUUUUGGUUACAGAAAAAAAGUCGACAGAAGUUUUAUUCUACUCUGUUGAUAAUCCACGAUUGUUUGCGUCCGAGAAGACAGAGAGGGUGAAGAUUGUGUUGUCAUUUCAGCCGUACGACAAAAUGCAUGCAAGCAUUUGGAAUUCUCGUCCUCACAGGCAGGAGAAAACCUCGUUGACGAUUUCAUCAGAAAGAAAAAAAAAACAAGGAAGAUUUUAACGAAGCGGAAGAGGAGACUUCUCAGGUAACAUUUGAUGAUGUAUGGAAUUCUCGUUCUCGUGGACUGUGGUAAUUUUAAAAACACUUUUCAAGAAACGAUUGAGUUUGUAUAACUUUUAUUUCUGCAAUGAAAGCUGUAAAAUAGAAAGACCGAAGGGAAGUUAAUUCUUCAUAAAAUACAUUUAUACCUAAUUUUCUUAUUUUUAAAAUUUACAGAUAAAACUAAUUUGAAUUUAUUUCAUACGUAUAAAUAUAUUGUUCCUAAAUAAGAAACAUCAAUUUUGAAUUCGUUUCAUUUUUCAGGUUUUAAACCGAGCCGUAAUUUUAUGGUCUGAAAUGAAUGUGCAAGGAAGAAUUUCUAAAAUUACUAGUUUAAGUUUGAAAUAUUUAAAUUUAAUUAUCUUAGAAAAUAAUGUGUAACGAUAUUCUCGUAUCUGAUUUCAUUCGGGACUUUUUUGUUACUUUCAGAUUCACUACCCGUCAAUCAAAAACAUUCCUGUUAACUAAAUGAAGAAUAGUUUCUAGAAAAACAUAAGAAUAGUCGAUGGAUGUGUUGGACUUCUGUCGUUAACGGAACACUAAAAUUGAAGCCAGUGUUGUGAUAUCAUUACAAGAAUAUAUCAACAAGGAAAACAUCGUUCAUGCGAGUUCAAACAUUGAGAAGAGAAAGAAUGGGAAGUAU